GGUGAUGGGGACAAAGAUUUGAGGCCACUAAAUCAUCGGCUUCACAACGGGAAGAAGAGAGUUAAGGAUGGAGUUGUGAGCGAGGAGCAAAAUUUAGCUGAAUAUCAUGGUUUGGAAGUCAAUGGCAUUGCUGAAAACAUAAAAGAUGGGCAUGGAGGGGCUCCCCAGCCCCCUGCAGCUGCACUGCAAAUUGCGCAGCAACAACAGUCUCAAGGAUCAAUAGUUUGUUGGGAGAGGUUUCUCCA
Molecule: unclassified non-coding RNA, 245 nt
Filed under: Hevea brasiliensis (rubber tree)
Lineage: Eukaryota; Viridiplantae; Streptophyta; Magnoliopsida; Malpighiales; Euphorbiaceae
Source: RNAcentral